This 27-nucleotide small RNA is filed under the name Bombyx mori (domestic silkworm). Its description in RNAcentral is "ovarian small RNA-3973". The record is from RNAcentral. Lineage: Eukaryota; Metazoa; Arthropoda; Insecta; Lepidoptera; Bombycidae.
UUCAAUGAAUUUCGAGUUGAAUGCUGG